CGAAAGCGUGGGGAGCAAACAGGAUUAGAUACCCUGGUAGUCCACGCCGUAAACGAUGUCUACUAGCCGUUGGGACUCUUGAAGUCUUAGUGGCGCAGCUAACGCACUAAGUAGACCGCCUGGGGAGUACGGCCGCAAGGUUAAAACUCAAAUGAAUUGACGGGGGCCCGCACAAGCGGUGGAGCAUGUGGUUUAAUUCGACGCAACGCGAAGAACCUUACCUGGCCUUGACAUGCAGAGAACUUUCCAGAGAUGGAUUGGUGCCUUCGGGAACUCUGACACAGGUGCUGCAUGGCCGUCGUCAGCUCGUGUCGUGAGAUGUUGGGUUAAGUCCCGUAACGAGCGCAACCCCUAUCCCUAGUUGCUAGCAGUUCGGCUGAGAACUCUAGGGAGACUGCCGGUGACAAACCGGAGGAAGGUGGGGAUGACGUCAAAUCAUCAUGCCCCUUAUGAUUUGGGCUACACACGUGCUACAAUGGCAGUGACAAUGAGUUAAUCUCUAAAAGCUGUCUCAGUUCGAAUUGGGGUCUGCAACUCGACCCCAUGAAGUCGGAAUCGCUAGUAAUCGUGGAUCAGCAUGCCACGGUGAAUACGUUCCCGGGCCUUGUACACACCG
RNAcentral lists this ribosomal RNA (616 nucleotides) under Chrysotila carterae. Its description in RNAcentral is "partial Bacterial small subunit ribosomal RNA". It matches the Rfam family "Bacterial small subunit ribosomal RNA", at positions 754 to 1392 of the family's 1533-position model. Lineage: Eukaryota; Haptophyta; Isochrysidales; Isochrysidaceae. The record is from RNAcentral.